This 484-nucleotide ribosomal RNA is filed under the name uncultured bacterium. RNAcentral's name for it is "partial 16S ribosomal RNA". It matches the Rfam family "Bacterial small subunit ribosomal RNA", at positions 899 to 1397 of the family's 1533-position model. The record is from RNAcentral.
ACUCAAAUGAAUUGACGGGGACCCACACAAGCGGUGGAGCAUGGGGUUUAAUUCGAUAGUAAGCGAAGCACCUCACCCAGGCUUGACAUCUCGGGAACCCUCCAGAAACGGAGGGGUGCCGCAAGGAACCCGAAGACAGGCGCUGCACGGUUGUCGUCAGCUCGUGCCUUGAGGUGUACUGUUAAGUCAGCGAACGAGCGCAACCCUCAUCCUAUGUUGUUUUUUCAUGGGAGACUGCCGCCUCCAAGGCGGAGGAAGGUGGGGAUGACGUCAAAUCAGCGUGGCCCUUAUGCCUGGGGCAACACCCGUGCUACAAUGGCCGGUACAAAGAGCAGCAAACCCGCGAGGGGAAGCCAAUCUCACAAAGCCGGUCUCAGUUCGGAUUGAAGUCUGCAACUCGACUUCAUGAAGUUGGAAUCGCUAGUAACCGUGAAUCAGCUACGUCACGGUGAAUAUGUUCCUGGGUCUUGUACACACCGCCCGU